CAGGGUUUGUGUGAAUAGCAUUUUCUAUGUAUAAUACUACUUUAUCCACACAUGUAUAGUUUCAGAUAAAUAUUUCAUAAGCUUUUGUGUUUUUGUGAAUGCAUAUCGCUCCCUGAAACCUUCUUUUCUAUUUGCGUUUUUUCUUAAAUGCAUAUUAUGGUCUCCAUAUACAGUGGACACUAGGUAAAUGUUGGUUAAAGUGGAUAAUAAUUAAAAAUGUAAUAUUUACUCCUGUCAGCUGAGUAAAUAUUUAACCUCGUAUGACUGUGUGACAGUUUGUGCAGACCACUAUCGCUUCCUGUUUGCAGGGAAUUUUUGUCUGUUGCUAACUUAUUGCUUCUCUUGUCUUCUUUGCCUACGUAGCUCAGAUGUAGAAUAUGGGGCUUAUGCAUUAGACCAGAAUGUUGUUCUUAAGGGUUUUAUUACCCAGAUCAUAUGUCAACCUAUCAUAAAGACCAAGUACUCAGCAGCUGGAUUAAAGUGGUGGUGAGCUUUAUCUGGGAGAGACAGAACCCGUAGGCGCCUCUAGUGCCAGAUUGUUGGGGUUGAAGUUCAGGUUGAAGUUCUAGCUGUGUGGUUUAGGCCAAGUUACUUAAUUUCUCUGCACGCCAAUUUUCUCUGCUAUAAAACAGGAUGAUGAUAAUUAUGUUCAUGCCAUAGGGUAGUUAUAAGUAGUAAAUGACUAAAUAUAUGUAACAGAGUAAGAACUAUGUAAAUACCAGCUACCCUUGCCACAACUAGUUUUUAAGUUUGCCUUGAGUCUUUAUAUGUGUAUGUGGAUUCAGAUGCUAUACAUAAAGAUUCAAGAAAAUGAGUGGUUAGGUUUAUUCACUCUUGAGAAGUAAAUUCUGUAAGUUCAGGAUAACACACACCCAAGUUUUGAUGCCAAGGCAGCGCCGACUCUGGAAGAAGCUGAGAAGAGUGAAAACUAGUUCCUGUUCUAACAAGUGCCCUGCACUCUUCAAAACAAGAUCAAAGAAGGUGGAGGGACUAGUCCAGAUUCAAGAGACUAGAGAGGCAUGACAUCUGAAUGCAGUUCAUGAUCUAUGUUGGUUCCUGGAUGCUAUGAAGGACAUUAUUGGGGAAACUGGAAGAAUUUGAAUGCAGCACAUAAAAUUAUCAUGCAUCUAGCAUCUCACCCAGACACUGAAAAAUGAUGAAUCCACAGAACCCUGACACUGGAAAGGAAGCGUAAGCAGCAGCCAGAACCUGAGAGGAGACAUCAUUAAGUGAAGAUCUCAUGGAGCUCAGCUGAAAAUCCCUGUCGGGAGCAGUCACAGCUUUGCCCCCUGGCAGGGAAGAUCUUACUGGUGACUGAGAGAAGCCUCUGCCUACUCCCUGGUUCAAGAAUUCAAGACGGUUGCCAGCUAGAGCACAGGACAGCUGUGCCUGCAGCAAGCAGAAGUUUCCAGGCCAGAGAUCAAACCUGCACCACAGCAGUGACCUGAGCCGCAGCGGUGGCAAUGCCAGAUCCUUAACCCACUGUGCCGCUAGGGAACUAUGACCAAUGGUGUCUUCUUGCUAAAAUAUCCAACCUGUUAGGUGAUCAAGUCUGUAUUCAAUGACCCAUCAGAGAAGGAGAGCAUAGGAAAUGCAGGGGGUAGCAAACAGAUUAAAAGACACUACGUGGAUGCAAUCAACAAAAUACAGAAUGUUGGAAAUCCUGCAGGACAAAGCCACCCAAUGUUUUCACCAUCUCAAUGGCAAAGAGGGAAAAGAAAGUGUAGCAGACGCUGUCAGUGCCCACCUGUCUUUUAUGCCUUUUGCUGUGCUCAGCCUGACUUCUAGUUGUCACAAGCUCAUCUCUGUGCCAAAGAGCUUUUUUCCCUGAACUGUGGAAGGCUGCUCUGCCCACUUUUGGAAGGUCGGGAGUACCAGGAAAUGAAUGCUCCGGAAGCAGCCCUUAAUCAAUGACUAAAGUGGAUGAAUUAAUACUAGCUUUUUUAAAUCUCAGGAGGAUAAUUCUGAGGGUGUUUGUGUGUGUUUAUACCUGUUCUAAGAAUUAGUCAUGCUCCGGUAAAUGGUUAAAUAGCAUUGUUGGUUUAUGCUUCAUACCCUUUGUUGCUUGCCUUUUCUUCCUCCCCUGUGUUAUUUUCUCUUUCCCUUGUGGUGUGCCCUGAACUUCUGAAAUAAACCGUAUGUAU
RNAcentral lists this long non-coding RNA (2144 nucleotides) under Sus scrofa (pig). RNAcentral describes it as "lncRNA (ENSSSCG00040061355.1)". The record is from RNAcentral. Lineage: Eukaryota; Metazoa; Chordata; Mammalia; Artiodactyla; Suidae.